RNAcentral lists this ribosomal RNA (253 nucleotides) under uncultured bacterium. RNAcentral describes it as "partial 16S ribosomal RNA". It matches the Rfam family "Bacterial small subunit ribosomal RNA", at positions 524 to 776 of the family's 1533-position model. The record is from RNAcentral.
UACGAAGGGUGCAAACGUUGCUCGGAAUUAUUGGGCGUAAAGCGCACGUAGGCGGCUUGGCAAGUCGGAUGUGAAAGCCCUCGGCUCAACCAAGGAAGUGCAUCCGAAACUGCGGAGCUUGAGUACUGAAGAGGAUCGCGGAAUUCCCGGUGUAGAGGUGAAAUUCGUAGAUAUCGGGAGGAACACCAGUGGCGAAGGCGGCGAUCUGGGCAGAUACUGACGCUGAGGUGCGAAAGCGUGGGGAGCAAACAGG